GGGCAUUAGCUCAAUGGUAGAGCAACUGCUUUGGAUGCAGGAGGCCCCAGUUGCGUGUGUGGAAGGUACCA
Podarcis lilfordi (Lilford's wall lizard) is the source of this 71-nucleotide non-coding RNA. Lineage: Eukaryota; Metazoa; Chordata; Lepidosauria; Squamata; Lacertidae. The record is from the annotation of a GenBank genome assembly.